ACUGAGACACGGCCCAAACUACUACGGGAGGCAGCAGUAGGGAAUCUUCCACAAUGGACGCAAGUCUGAUGGAGCAACGCCGCGUGAGUGAAGAAGGCUUUCGGGUCGUAAAACUCUGUUGUUGGAGAAGAAUGGUCGGCAGAGUAACUGUUGUCGGCGUGACGGUAUCCAACCAGAAAGCCACGGCUAACUACGUGCCAGCAGCCGCGGUAAUACGUAGGUGGCAAGCGUUAUCCGGAUUUAUUGGGCGUAAAGCGAGCGCAGGCGGUUUUUUAAGUCUGAUGUGAAAGCCCUCGGCUUAACCGAGGAAGCGCAUCGGAAACUGGGAAACUUGAGUGCAGAAGAGGACAGUGGAACUCCAUGUGUAGCGGUGAAAUGCGUAGAUAUAUGGAAGAACACCAGUGGCGAAGGCGGCUGUCUGGUCUGUAACUGACGCUGAGGCUCGAAAGCAUGGGUAGCGAACAGGAUUAGAUACCCUGGUAGUCCAUGCCGUAAACGAUGAAUGCUAGGUGUUGGAGGGUUUCCGCCCUUCAGUGCCGCAGCUAACGCAUUAAGCAUUCCGCCUGGGGAGUACGACCGCAAGGUUGAAACUCAAAGGAAUUGACGGGGGCCCGCACAAGCGGUGGAGCAUGUGGUUUAAUUCGAAGCAACGCGAAGAACCUUACCAGGUCUUGACAUCUUUUGAUCACCUGAGAGAUCAGGUUUCCCCUUCGGGGGCAAAAUGACAGGUGGUGCAUGGUUGUCGUCAGCUCGUGUCGUGAGAUGUUGGGUUAAGUCCCGCAACGAGCGCAACCCUUAUGACUAGUUGCCAGCAUUUAGUUGGGCACUCUAGUAAGACUGCCGGUGACAAACCGGAGGAAGGUGGGGAUGACGUCAAAUCAUCAUGCCCCUUAUGACCUGGGCUACACACGUGCUACAAUGGAUGGUACAACGAGUUGCGAGACCGCGAGGUCAAGCUAAUCUCUUAAAGCCAUUCUCAGUUCGGACUGUAGGCUGCAACUCGCCUACACGAAGUCGGAAUCGCUAGUAAUCGCGGAUCAGCACGCCGCGGUGAAUACGUUCCCGGGCCUUGUACACACCGCCCGUCACACCAUGAGAGUUUGUAACCG
RNAcentral lists this ribosomal RNA (1109 nucleotides) under Lacticaseibacillus paracasei. RNAcentral describes it as "bacterial SSU rRNA". It matches the Rfam family "Bacterial small subunit ribosomal RNA", at positions 318 to 1420 of the family's 1533-position model. Lineage: Bacteria; Bacillati; Bacillota; Bacilli; Lactobacillales; Lactobacillaceae. The record is from RNAcentral.